Molecule: ribosomal RNA, 468 nt
Filed under: uncultured bacterium
Lineage: Bacteria
Description: partial 16S ribosomal RNA
Rfam family: Bacterial small subunit ribosomal RNA
Source: RNAcentral
GACGAACGCUGGCGGCGUGCUUAACACAUGCAAGUCGAACGGAAAGGCCCUGCUUUUGUGGGGUGCUCGAGUGGCGAACGGGUGAGUAACACGUGAGUAACCUGCCCUUGACUUUGGGAUAACAUCAGGAAACUGGGGCUAAUACCGGAUAGGAGCUCCUGCUGCAUGGUGGGGGUUGGAAAGAUUCGGCGGUUGUGGAUGGACUCGCGGCUUAUCCGCUUGUUGGUGGGGUAGUGGCUUACCAAGGCUUUGACGGGUAGCCGGCCUGAGAGGGGGACCGGCCACAUUGGGACUGAGAUACGGCGCAGAAUGCUACGGGAGGCAGCAGUGGAGAAUAUUGCACAAUGGGCGGAAGCCUGAUGCAGCAACGCCGCGUGCGGGAUGACGGCCUUCGGGUUGUAAACCGCUUUCGCCUGUGACGAAGCGUGAGUGACGGUAAUGGGUAAAGAAGCACCGGCUAACUACGUG